AUUGAACGCUGGCGGCAUGCCUAACACAUGCAAGUCGAACGGCAGCACGGCAGUAGCAAUACUGUGGGUGGCGAGUGGCGGACGGGUGAGGAAUACGUCGGAAUCUGCCCAGUCGUGGGGGGAUAACUAGCCGAAAGGUUAGCUAAUACCGCAUACGACCGAGAGGUGAAAGCGGGGGACCGCAAGGCCUCGCGCGAUUGGAUGAGCCGACGUCGGAUUAGCUAGUUGGUGGGGUAAAGGCCCACCAAGGCGACGAUCCGUAGCUGGUCUGAGAGGAUGAUCAGCCACACUGGAACUGAGACAUGGUCCAGACUCCUACGGGAGGCAGCAGUGGGGAAUAUUGGACAAUGGGCGCAAGCCUGAUCCAGCAAUGCCGCGUGUGUGAAGAAGGCCUUCGGUUGUAAG
RNAcentral lists this ribosomal RNA (405 nucleotides) under uncultured bacterium. RNAcentral's name for it is "bacterial SSU rRNA". It matches the Rfam family "Bacterial small subunit ribosomal RNA", at positions 29 to 429 of the family's 1533-position model. The record is from RNAcentral.